GAUGAACGCUGGCGGCGUGCCUAAUACAUGCAAGUCGAGCGAACAGACGAGGAGCUUGCUCCUUCGACGUUAGCGGCGGACGGGUGAGUAACACGUAGGUAACCUACCUAUAAGACUGGGAUAACUUCGGGAAACCGGAGCUAAUACCGGAUAAUAUUUCGAACCGCAUGGUUCGAUAGUGAAAGAUGGCUUUGCUAUCACUUAUAGAUGGACCUGCGCCGUAUUAGCUAGUUGGUAAGGUAACGGCUUACCAAGGCAACGAUACGUAGCCGACCUGAGAGGGUGAUCGGCCACACUGGAACUGAGACACGGUCCAGACUCCUACGGGAGGCAGCAGUAGGGAAUCUUCCGCAAUGGGCGAAAGCCUGACGGAGCAAUGCCGCGUGAGUGAUGAAGGUCUUCGGAUCGUAAAACUCUGUUAUUAGGGAAGAACAAACGUGUAAGUAACUGUGCACGUCUUGACGGUACCUAAUCAGAAAGCCACGGCUAACUACGU
RNAcentral lists this ribosomal RNA (496 nucleotides) under uncultured bacterium. RNAcentral describes it as "partial 16S ribosomal RNA". It matches the Rfam family "Bacterial small subunit ribosomal RNA", at positions 28 to 506 of the family's 1533-position model. The record is from RNAcentral.